This 941-nucleotide ribosomal RNA is filed under the name uncultured Flavobacteriaceae bacterium. RNAcentral describes it as "bacterial SSU rRNA". It matches the Rfam family "Bacterial small subunit ribosomal RNA", at positions 48 to 995 of the family's 1533-position model. The record is from RNAcentral. Lineage: Bacteria; Pseudomonadati; Bacteroidota; Flavobacteriia; Flavobacteriales; Flavobacteriaceae.
CUUACACAUGCAAGUCGAGGGGUAUAGUUCUUCGGAGCUAGAGACCGGCGCGCGGGUGCGUAACGCGUAUGCAAUCUACCUUUUACAGAGGGAUAGCCCAGAGAAAUUUGGAUUAAUACCUCAUAGUAUGUGAGAAUCGCAUGGUUUUCACAUUAAAGUCACAACGGUAAAAGAUGAGCAUGCGUCCCAUUAGCUAGAUGGUAAGGUAACGGCUUACCAUGGCAACGAUGGGUAGGGGUCCUGAGAGGGAGAUCCCCCACACUGGUACUGAGACACGGACCAGACUCCUACGGGAGGCAGCAGUGAGGAAUAUUGGACAAUGGGCGCAAGCCUGAUCCAGCCAUGCCGCGUGCAGGAUGACGGUCCUAUGGAUUGUAAACUGCUUUUGUACAGGAAGAAACACUCCCUCGUGAGGGAGCUUGACGGUACUGUAAGAAUAAGGAUCGGCUAACUCCGUGCCAGCAGCCGCGGUAAUACGGAGGAUCCAAGCGUUAUCCGGAAUCAUUGGGUUUAAAGGGUCCGUAGGCGGUUUAAUAAGUCAGUGGUGAAAGCCCAUCGCUCAACGGUGGAACGGCCAUUGAUACUGUUAAACUUGAAUUAUUAGGAAGUAACUAGAAUAUGUAGUGUAGCGGUGAAAUGCUUAGAGAUUACAUGGAAUACCAAUUGCGAAGGCAGGUUACUACUAAUGGAUUGACGCUGAUGGACGAAAGCGUGGGUAGCGAACAGGAUUAGAUACCCUGGUAGUCCACGCCGUAAACGAUGGAUACUAGCUGUUGGGAGCAAUCUCAGUGGCUAAGCGAAAGUGAUAAGUAUCCCACCUGGGGAGUACGUUCGCAAGAAUGAAACUCAAAGGAAUUGACGGGGGCCCGCACAAGCGGUGGAGCAUGUGGUUUAAUUCGAUGAUACGCGAGGAACCUUACCAAGGCUUAAAUGUAGUUUGA